UCAAGUUAUUAAGGGUGCAGGGCGGAUGCCUUGGCACUAGGAGCCGAUGAAGGACGUGAUAAGCUGCGAUAAGCUUCGGGGAGUUGCACGUAAACUUUGAUCCGAAGAUUUCCGAAUGAGGAAACUCACUUAGAGUAAUGUCUAAGUAUCAUUAAGUGAAUACAUAGCUUAAUGAGGGGAACUCAGGGAACUGAAACAUCUAAGUACCUGAAGGAAGAGAAAGAAAUUCGAUUCCGUAAGUAGCGGCGAGCGAACGCGGAUUAGCCCAAACCAAUAAAGUUUUCUUUAUUGGGGUUGCGGACAUAUCAUAACGAAGAGGUAUCGUAAUUGAAGAGGUUUGGAAAGACCCACCACAGAAGGUAAUAGUCCUGUAUGUUAAACGAGAAGACUUUAGAUAUGAUCCAGAGUACCACGGGACACGUGAAACCCUGUGGGAAGCAGGAGGGACCACCCUCCAAGGCUAAAUACUACCUAGUGACCGAUAGCGUAUAGUACCGUGAGGGAAAGGUGAAAAGAACCCCGGGAGGGGAGUGAAAUAGAACCUGAAACCCUGCACUUACAAGCUGUGGAAGCACAUUUCUUGUGUGACCGCGUACUUUUUGUAGAACGGGCCAACGAGUUACGUUAAGUAGCAAGGUUAAGCACUUAAGGUGUGGAGCCGUAGCGAAAGCGAGUUUUAACUGAGCGUUCAGUUACUUGACGUAGACCCGAAACCGGGCGACCUACCCAUGAGCAGGAUGAAGCGAAAGUAAAAUUUCGUGGAGGUCCGAACCCACGAGCGUUGAAAAGCUCGGGGAUGACUUGUGGGUAGCGGUGAAAUUCCAAUCGAGCCCGGAGAUAGCUGGUUCUCCCCGAAAUAGCUUUAGGGCUAGCCUCAAGGUGAGAGAUACGGAGGUAGAGCACUGAAUGUCCUAGGGGGUAUUGCACCUACCGAAGACUAUCAAACUCCGAAUGCCGUCAUCUUAUACUUGGGAGUCAGACUGUGGGUGAUAAGAUUCAUAGUCGAAAGGGCAACAGCCCAGAUCGUCAGCUAAGGUCCCUAAAUGUAAGUUAAGUGGUAAAGGAUGUGGGAUUGCACAGACAACCAGGAUGUUGGCUUAGAAGCAGCCACUCAUUCAAAGAGUGCGUAAUAGCUCACUGGUCGAGUGAUCCUGCGCCGAAGAUUUCCGGGGCUAAAACUUACUACCGAAGCUACGGCAUCAGUAAUGAUGGGUAGGGGAGCUUCCCAUACGGGUUGAAGCAUGACCGUAAGGACAUGUGGACAGUAUGGGAGUGAGAAUGUUGGCAUGAGUAGCGAGAUGUGGGUGAGAAUCCCACAGGCCGUAAACCCAAGGUUUCCAGGGGAAGGUUCGUCCGCCCUGGGUUAGUCGGGACCUAAGCUGAGGCCGAAAGGCGUAGGUGAUGGACAACAGGUUGAUAUUCCUGUACUACCGAUAACCGUUUGAGAGAAGGGAUGACACAGUAGGAUAAGCUAAGCACACUGUUGGUUAUGUGUGCCCAAGCAUUGAGGCAGUCAAAGUAGGCAAAUCCGCUUUGAUAAUGCUGGGAUGUGAUGGGGAGCGAAAUUUAGUAGCGAAGUAGCUGAUUUCACACUGUCAAGAAAAGUCUCUAUCGAGGUUAAAGGUACCCGUACCGCAAACCGACACAGGUGGGUGAGGAGAGUAUCCUAAGGCCAGCGAGAGAACUGUUGUUAAGGAACUCGGCAAAAUGACCCCGUAACUUAGGGAUAAGGGGUGCCACCAUCAGGUGGCCGCAGAGAAUAGGCCCAAGCGACUGUUUACCAAAAACAUAGGUUUCUGCUAAGUCGCAAGACGAUGUAUAGGAGCUGACGCCUGCCCGGUGCUGGAAGGUUAAGGGGAUCUGUUAGAGCAAUCGAAGCAGUGAACUUAAGCCCCAGUAAACGGCGGCCGUAACUAUAACGGUCCUAAGGUAGCGAAAUUCCUUGUCGGGUAAGUUCCGACCCGCACGAAAGGCGUAACGAUUUGGGCACUGUCUCAACAACAGACUCGGUGAAAUUGUAAUUCCGGUGAAGAUGCCGGAUACCUGCGACAGGACGGAAAGACCCCAUGGAGCUUUACUGUAGCUUGACAUUGGGUCUUGGUACUACAUGUACAGGAUAGGUGGGAGGCUUUGAAACCAGGACGCCAGUUUUGGCGGAGCCAUCCUUGGGAUACCACCCUUGUAGUACUGGGACUCUAACCAUAGGCCAUGAAUCUGGUCUUGGGACACUGUCAGGUGGGCAGUUUGACUGGGGCGGUCGCCUCCCAAAAGGUAACGGAGGCGCUCAAAGGUUCUCUCAGUACGGUCGGAAAUCGUACGUAGAGUGUAAAGGCAAAAGAGAGCUUGAUUGCAAGACAUACAGGUCGAGCAAGGAUGAAAAUCGGACUUAGUGAUCCGGUGGUUCUGCGUGGAAGGGCCAUCGCUCAACGGAUAAAAGCUACCCUGGGGAUAACAGGCUUAUCUCCCCCAAGAGUCCACAUCGACGGGGAGGUUUGGCACCUCGAUGUCGGCUCAUCACAUCCUGGGGCUGUAGUAGGUCCCAAGGGUUGGGCUGUUCGCCCAUUAAAGUGGUACGCGAGCUGGGUUCAGAACGUCGUGAGACAGUUCGGUCCCUAUCCGUCGCAGGCGUAGGAAAUUUGAGAAGACCUGUCCUUAGUACGAGAGGACCGGGAUGGACGUACCUCUGGUGUACCAGUUGUCCUGCCAAGGGCAUGGCUGGGUAGCUAUGUACGGAAUGGAUAAGCGCUGAAAGCAUCUAAGCGCGAAGCCAACUUCAAGAUAAGAUUUCCCACCGCAAGGGUAAGACCCCAGAAAGACUAUCUGGUUGAUAGGUCGAAGGUGUAAGUGCAGCAAUGUAUUUAGCUUAUCGAUACUAAUAGGUCGAGGACUUGACCAA
This 2896-nucleotide ribosomal RNA is filed under the name Clostridioides difficile. RNAcentral describes it as "bacterial LSU rRNA". It matches the Rfam family "Bacterial large subunit ribosomal RNA". Lineage: Bacteria; Bacillati; Bacillota; Clostridia; Peptostreptococcales; Peptostreptococcaceae. RNAcentral also lists the same sequence under 2 other names. The record is from RNAcentral.